GACGUAGGGCGCGAGCGUUGUCCGGAUUUAUUGGGCGUAAAGAGCUCGUAGGCGGCUUGUCACGUCGUUCGUGAAAACUUGGGGCUCAACCCCAAGCUUGCGGUCGAUACGGGCAGGCUAGAGUUCGGUAGGGGAGACUGGAAUUCCUGGUGUAGCGGUGAAAUGCGCAGAUAUCAGGAGGAACACCGGUGGCGAAGGCGGGUCUCUGGGCCGAUACUGACGCUGAGGAGCGAAAGCGUGGGGAGCGAACAGG
This 253-nucleotide ribosomal RNA is filed under the name uncultured bacterium. RNAcentral's name for it is "partial 16S ribosomal RNA". It matches the Rfam family "Bacterial small subunit ribosomal RNA", at positions 524 to 776 of the family's 1533-position model. The record is from RNAcentral.